GGGGUCACAUGUACCGGAUGUUGAUACAGUCUGCGGAACAGCUGUGAAAGAAUAAACAAAGCUGACGCGUCGAUGACAAAAAGAAGGGGGAAAUACAACGAAGCAGGUUUUAACAUACGUGUCCACACAGAACUCUGAAAAUCACAGAUUCACGGUUGGUCUCUGCUGACAACACCGCUAUGGGAAGGAUCUUCCUGGACCACAAUGGUGGGACAUGCCUGUUCUCCUGCGCCACUUGUGACACCAUCCUGACCAACCGCUCAGAGCUCAUCUCCACAAGCUUCACCGGCACCACGGUGAGCCCGGUGAUAGUCUACUACUCCUACUACAGUAGGAACGCUACAUGAUCAAAUAAAUGUGGACACCUGCUCGUCGAACAUCUCAUUCCAAAAUCAUGGGCAUUAAUAUGGAGUUGGUCCCCCAUUUUCUGCUAUAAUAGGCUCCAUUCUUCUGGUAAGGCUUUCCACUAGAUGUUGGAACAUUUCUGCGGGGACUUGCCAUUCAGCCACAAGAACAUUAGUGAGGUCAGGCACUGAUGUUGGGCGAUUUGGCCUGGCUCGCAGUCUGAAUUCCAAUUAAUCCAAAAGGUUUAAGAUGGGGUUGAGGUCAGGGCUCUUGUGCAGCCCAGUCAAGUUCUUUCACACCGAUCGACAAACCAUUUCUGUAUAGACCUCACUUUGUCCACGGGGCAUUGUCAUGCUGAAACAGGAACGGGCCUUAUCCAAACUGUUGCUGCAAAGUUGGAAGCACAGAAUCUGCUACAAUGUCAUUGUAUGCUGUAGCGUUAAGAUUUCCCUUCACCAGAACUAAGGGUCCUAGCCCAAAGAAUGAAAAACAGCCCCAGACCAUUAUUCCUCCUCCACCAAACUUUACAGUUGGCACUAUGCAUUGGGGCAGGUAGCGUUCUCCUGGUAUCCGCCAAACCCAGAUUCGUCCGUCGGACUGCCAGAUGGCGAAGUGUGAUUCAUCACUCCAGAGAACGCAUUUCCACUGCUCCUGAGUCCAAUGGUGGUGAGCUUUACAACACUCCAGCCGACGCUUGGCAUUGUUCAUGGUGAUCUUAGGCUUGUGUGCGGCUGCAUGGCCAUGGAAACCCAUUUAAUGACACUCCCGACGAACAGUUCUUGUGCUAACAUUGCUUCCAGAGGUAGUUGGAACUCGGUAUUGAGUGUUGCAACCAAGCACAGGCGAUUUUUGCGCUUCAGCACUCGGCGGUCCCAUUCUGUGAGCUUGUGGGGCCUAAUACUUCGCGGCUGAGCCGUUAUUGCUCCUAGACGUUUCCACUUCACAAUAACAGCACUUACAGUUGACCGGGGCAGUAGCAAGGCAGAAAUUUGACAACCUGACUUGUUGGAAAGGUGGCAUCCUUUGAUGGUGCCACGUUGAGUCACUGAGCUCUUCAGUAAGGCCAUUCUACUGCCAAUGUAGGUCUAUGGAGAUUGCAUGGCUGUGUGCUCAAUUUUAUACACCUGUCAGCAACGGUGUGGCUUAAUUAGCAGAAUCCACUCAUUUGAAGGGGUGUCCACAUACAGUGCGUUUGGAAAGUAUUCAGACCCCUCCACUUUUUCCACAUUUUCUUAUUACUUAUUCUAAAAUGAUUGAGGAAAAAAAAACUAUCUACACACAAUAACCCAUAAUGACAAAGCGUAAACUAACUUUUUGCUAAACUAUGAAAAAUAAAAACAUACCUUAGUUACUUAAGUAUUCAGACCCUUUGCUAUGAGACUCGAAAUUGAACUCAAGUGCAUCCUGUUUCUAUUGAUCAUCCUUGAGAUGUUUCUACAACUUGGAGUCCACCUGUGGUAAAUUCAAUUGAUUGGACAUGAUUUGGAAAUGCACAUGCCUGUCUAUAUAAGGUCCCACAGUUGACAGUGCAUGUCAGAGCAAAAACCAAGCCAUGAGGUCGAAGGAUUUGUCUGUAGAGCUCAGAGACAGGAUUGUGUCGAGGCACAGAUAUUGGGAAGCGUGCCAAAAAAUGUCUGCAGCAUUGAAGGUCACCAAGAACACGGUGGCCUCGACCCUCUUAAAUGUUAACGUUUGGAACCACCAAGACUCUUCCUAAAGCUGGCCGCCCGGCCAAACUGAGCAAUCGGGUGAGAAGGGCCUUGGUUAGGGAGGUGACCAAGAACCCAAUAGUCACUGACAGAGCUCCAGAGUUGCUCUGUGGGAAUGGGAUAACCUUCUAGAAGGACAACCAUCUCGGCAGCACUCCACAAUUCAGGCCUUUAUGGUAGAGUGUCCAGACGGAAGCCACUCCUCAGUAAAAUGCACAUGACAGCCUGCUUGGAGUUUACCAAAAGGCACCUAAAGGACUCAGACCAUGAGAAACAAUAUUCUCUGGUCUGAUGAAAACAAGAUCGAACUCUUUGGCCUGAAUGCCAAGUGUCACGUCUGGAGGAAACCUGGCGCCAUCCCUAUGGUGAAGCAUGGUGGUAUCAUGCUGUGGGGAUGUUUUUCAGCGACAGGCAGACUAGUCAGGAUCGAGGGAAAUAUGAACGGAGCAAAGUACAGAGAUCCUUGACGAAAACCUGCUCCAGAGUGCUCAGGACCUCAGACUGGGGUGAAGGUUCACCUUCCAACAGGACAACGACACUAUGCACACAGCCAAGACAACGCAGGAGUGGCUUCAGGACAAGUCUUAAUGUCCUUGAGUUGCCCAGCCAGAGCCUGGACUUGAACCCGAUCUAACAUCUCUGGAGAGACCUGAAAAUAGCUGUGCAGCAACGCUCCCCAUCCAACCUGACAGCACUUGAGAGGAUCUGCAGAGAAGAUUGGGAGAAACUCCACAAAUACAGGUGUGCCAAGCUUGUAGCAUCAUACCCAAGAAGAUUCAAGGCUGUAAUCUCUGCCAAAGGUGACUCAACAAAGUACUGAGUAAAGGGUUUGAAUACUUAGGUAAAUGUGAUAAUUUUUUUUUAUACAUUAGCAAAAAUACAAAAUAAACAGUUUUUGCCUUGUCAUUAUGGGGUAUUGUGUGUGUAUAUUGAUGAUGGGAAAACAGGCGGGAAAAAAACAAUUUGAAUCAAUUUUAGAAUAAGGCUGUAAUGUAACAACGUGGAAAAAGUCAAAAGGUUUGAAAACUUUCUGAAUGCACUGUACUUUUGUAUGUUUUCAUUUAAAAAAAACAUUUCAGUCACUUAGCAGAAAUUCUUAUCCAGGGCGACUUACAGUUCCUCUUAAGAUAGCUAGGUGGGACAACCACAUAUCACAGUCAUAAUCAGUACAUUUAUAUUCAGAUAGCUAGGUGGGACAACCACAUAUCACAGUCAUAGAAAGUAAGGGGUGGGGGUCACAUGCAAGUUAAGUUGUUAUUAUUAUUUCUUCAGGGGGGUCAAGGUGAGUAGGAGGAUUAUUUAAGAUAUGGUUUGAAGAGGUAGGGUUUCAGAUGUUUUAGGAAGAUGGGCAGGGACUCUGCUGUCCUAGCUUCAAGGGGAAGCUGGUUCCACUAUUGGGGUACCAUGAGACCUGAAGUGGCAGAACUGAGUGUUGGGGUGUAGGGUCUGAGAAUAGCCUGAAGGUAGGGAGGAGCAGAUCCUGUUGCUGUUCCGUAGGUAAGCACCAUGGUCUUGUAGUGGAUGCCAGCUUUGACUGGAAGCCAGUGGAGUGUGUGGUGAAGCGGGGUGACAUGAGAGAACUUGGGAAGGUUGAAACCAGGUGGGCUGCAGCAUUCUGGAUAAGUUGCAGGGGUUUGAUUGCACAAGCGGGGAGCCCAGCCAACCGCGAGUUGCAGUAGUCCAGGCGGGGGAGGACAAGUGCCUGAUUUAGGACCUGCAACAUUUCCUGUGUGAGGUAAUCUACGGAUUUUGUAGAGCAUUAACCUGCAGGGGCGGGUCACUGUUUCGAUGUUUGCAGAGAACGUCAGGGUGUUGUCCAGGGUCACGUCAAGGUUCUUUGCGCUUUGGUAAGGCGACACUGGAGUUGUCAACCAGGAUGGAGAGGUCAUAGCAAUGACAGUAGAGACCAUGUGAGGAUAUGACGGAGCCGAGUAACUUAGUGUAUUUAGAGGAGAGGGCCUAGAACUGAGCCCUGGAGGACACCAGUAGUGAGAGUACGUGGUGCAGACACAGAUCCUCUCCAUGUCAACUGGUAGGAGUGGCCUGCCAGGUAGGAUGCAAUCCAAGAGUGUGCAGAGCCUGAGAAUCCCAGCCCUGAGAAGGUAGAGAGGAGGAUCUGAUGGUUCAUGGUGUUGAAGGCAGCGGAUAGAUCUAGGAGGAUGAGAACAAAGGAAGAACCUGGAUCAGGUUGUUAGUCAACCUACCAGGGUAGUUAAACCUGAAAGGCCGCUCAGCAAGGAAGAAGCCACUGCUCCAAAACCGCCAUAAAAAGCCAGACUAUGGUUUGCAACUGCACAUGGGGCCAAAGAUUGUACUUUUUGGAGGAAGGUCCUCUGGUCUAAUGCAACAAAAAUAGAACUGUUUGGCCAUAAUGACCAUUGUUUGGAGGAAAAAGGGGGAGGCUUGUAAGCCAAAGAAAACCAUCCCAACCGUGAAGCACGGGGGUGGCAGCAUCAUGUUGUGGGGGUGCUUUUUUGCAGGAGGGACUGGUGCACUUCACUAAAUAGAUGGCAUCAUGAUGGAAAAUUAUGUGGAUAUAUUGAAGCAACAUCUCAAGACAGUCAGGAAGUUAAAUCUUGGUUCCCAAUGGGUCUUCCAAAUGGGCAAUGACCCCAAGCAUACUUCCAAAGUUGUGGCAAAAUGUUUUAAGGACAACAAAGUCAAGGUAUUGAAGUGGCCAUCACAAAGCCCUGACCUCAAUCCACUAGAAAAUUUGCGGGCAGAACUGAAAAAAGUGUGCGCGAGCAUGGAGGCCUACAAACCUGACUCCGUUACACCAGCUCUGUCAGGAGGAAUGGGCCAAAAUUUGCCCAACUUGUUGUGGGAAGCUUUUGGAAGGCUACUUGAAACAUUUGACCCAAGUUAAACAAUUUAAAGGCAAUGCUACCAAAUACUAAUUAAGUGUAUGUAAACUUCUGACCCACUGGGAAUGUGAUGAAAUAAAAUCUGAAAAAUCAUUCUCUCUACUAUUAUUCUGACAUUUCACAUUCUUAAAAUAAAGUGGUGAUCCUAACUGACCUAAGACAGGGAAUUUUUUCACUAGGAUUAAAUGUAAGGAAUUGUGAAAAACUGAGUUUAAAUGUAACGGAUGAUUGAAAACCCCGCUGUUUUGCAUAACAUCAGAGUGACCGGAUCAACCAUAGCCCGCAUUCUUAAACACCAUCUCCGGAUGAAGCAAAUCUACAGAGUCCCAUUUGAAAGGAAUUCUUAAAGAGUGAAGGAUAAAACAGUACAAGUAAUGUACUAGUAUUACACUUUUGAAACAGACUCAAUGAUGUUGCCAGGGAACUUUACUAUACAGUAUUUACUGUCAUUUCAGAGAAUCAUGAAGUUGGAUGCAAGUACCAUCCCCCAGGAACUCAUAUUCAUAGAUUAAUUUAGCAAAGACUAGUAGGAGAGGAAGGAACAUCAUUGGUCAGCAUGGGGAAAUGAUACCAUAUGCACAGUUAUGAGCCACAAUGGAGUCCUCCACCGCCAUGACAACCUUGGACCAUAGAACACUGCCCAUCUCUACAUUUCCUGCACACCUUACUCUUUUUCAGACAGAGCAGACGGUCAGGUGAUCCUGAGCAGCAAAUGUUAUAAUUUGGGACAAUGUGAGUUUCCAUCAGGCUGCUCAGGCUCGCAACUGAUUCCAUGACCAUACCAGGUUUACAAUUCUCAAUCCCAUUGCGUUGUUUUCAGCAUGGUGGUGGUAUGAUCACAAACCCCAUGAACAUAUGGCCCUUCUCUAUGCAAUGGAGGCUGCCUGUGGUGACAUUUCAGCAGAGUCCUGUCAGGAGUGGCCUCGUCAUGCCAUUAAAUAUCCACCCCCCCCCCGGACCAAAACAAAUGACAUUGUUUUCGCAAUGGAGUAUGUUUGAUAGGUUCUUUAUCUAUUCCAUACAGUAGUGCAAAUAAGCUUAUUUUUCUUCCAUUACAUAUGUGAAAUAUUUACUGUGUUUGUGUGCAUACUGUAUGCUGUUGACAUGUAUUGAGUCAUGUUGAAAUACAUAACUUGCACUUGUGUUCCUUUGAGUACACACACAGAGUACAGAAUCUUAGUCUUUAGACUGAAAUAGUGACAGAUCACACUGACAUUCAUAUCCUAAUUUGAUGUUCAUCUCAUUUUGACCAGGGAGCACAUGAUUUUAAUUGCUGUGUUUCAUUAAGCAAGAUGGGGUUUGGGCACCCGAGAUGUAAUGAUAUGUUCGGCGAGCAGGUGUCCAACUUCACCUUUUGUUGCCCCACUUCUCUGCUCAAUAGAGGACAUUAAUACGGGGAAAGGUAUUUGGCAAUCCUCAAAACAAGGGCUAGAUUAAGUUAACACAAAGCAGAAGGGUAUGGGCACAGAUGCAAUCGUAUGAUAUUUAUUGUUCGUUUAUCAGUCAAAAGUAUUUCUACUUUUCACACAAGUUGUAUAUGUAAAAAGUGUCAAUGAGCUUUUUUCCCCCCUUACGGCCAGUCGACAGAAUCAGGUUUGCACUUCACGUUAGAUAGACUCCUUAAGUUUACCCUUAUUUUCCCAUUAUAAUUCAACUUUAAAAGAUCACACAGACUACGUGCUCCUCUAAUCCAGUUUAAUCAUCCUCAGCAAAAAGGCCAAAUACAAUAAGAGAAAACAAAAUUAUUUUUUAUACAUUUAACUAAAUAUGCAGCGCUAUGCUAGUGUGUAAGUAAAUCAAAACCAUAUGGUUAAAUACAAUUUCUUUUAAGAUACAGAAAGAUAUUAAUUUCUUCCAUUAGCACUCGAGAGAACAGGUCGCAAAAUAUCAAAAUAAAACCAGCCACGACAGUACGCUCCUUUUUUGUUGUUGACCACUACACAUCACUCUCUCCUUUCUUCAAAUCAUUCCUCGCACCAGAAGGGGACCAGUGAGAGUCGAAGGAAGCAGAGGAGAGGGGGAUGAAGUGAGUGAAGAAUGAGAUGAGCAUUGGGACCAGCAGUCAAGUAGUGUGACUAGGGUAGUAGGAGAACGAUAUGGAACAGACUAGCAGUAUACUACUUAGAAUGAACCAACGUAUGAGGCAUGCAUUCUAAGUGGUAUUCUAGUAUGGCCAUAUGAACAGAGCCAUGGUUCAAUAGUCCAAGGAGUCAGGGAUUUUGUAUGUACAGAAGAGGGAGUAGAGUGCAUUACAAAACAAAGAGCAGGAACAGCAACA
Long non-coding RNA from Salvelinus fontinalis (brook trout), 7196 nucleotides. RefSeq lists it as uncharacterized. The record is from RefSeq and is a predicted model, not a curated record. The transcript is spliced from 2 exons. NCBI's taxonomy places the organism in Eukaryota, Metazoa, Chordata, Actinopteri, Salmoniformes, Salmonidae.